ACAAGCGGUGGAGCAUGUGGUUAAUUUGACGCAACGCGAAGAACCUUACCAGGGCUUGACAUCCCCUGACCGCGUAUGAAAGUACGUUUUCACCCUCGGGUGACAGGGAGACAGGUGGUGCAUGGUUGUCGUCAGCUCGUGUCGUGAGAUGUUGGGUUAAGUCCCGCAACGAGCGCAACCCCUACGUUUAGUUGCUAACGCGUGAAGGCGAGCACUCUAGACGAACUGCCGUUGACAAAACGGAGGAAGGUGGGAUGACGUCAAAUCAUCAUGCCCCUUAUGUUCUGGGCUACACACGUGCUACAAUGGCCGGUACAGACGGACGCAAAGCCGCGAGGUGGAGCAAAUCCUAAAAAGCCGGUCUCAGUUCGGAUUGCAGGCUGCAAUUCGCCUGCAUGAAGUCGGAAUCGCUAGUAAUCGCAGGUCAGCAUACUCGCGGUCGAAUACGUUCCCGGGCCUU
Molecule: ribosomal RNA, 460 nt
Filed under: uncultured Pelotomaculum sp.
Lineage: Bacteria; Bacillati; Bacillota; Clostridia; Eubacteriales; Desulfotomaculaceae
Description: bacterial SSU rRNA
Rfam family: Bacterial small subunit ribosomal RNA
Source: RNAcentral